This 444-nucleotide ribosomal RNA is filed under the name uncultured bacterium. Its description in RNAcentral is "partial 16S ribosomal RNA". It matches the Rfam family "Bacterial small subunit ribosomal RNA", at positions 354 to 795 of the family's 1533-position model. The record is from RNAcentral.
GUGAGGAAUAUUGGUCAAUGGGCGAGAGCCUGAACCAGCCAAGUAGCGUGAAGGAUGAAGGUCCUAUGGAUUGUAAACUUCUUUUAUAGUAGAAUAAAGUGACCUACGUGUAGGUUUUUGUAUGUAUACUAUGAAUAAGGAUCGGCUAACUCCGUGCCAGCAGCCGCGGUAAUACGGAGGAUCCGAGCGUUAUCCGGAUUUAUUGGGUUUAAAGGGUGCGUAGGCGGAAUAGUAAGUCAGUUGUGAAAGUUUGCGGCUCAACCGUAAAAUUGCAGUUGAUACUGUUAUUCUUGAGUGUACAUAAGGUAGGCGGAAUUCGUGGUGUAGCGGUGAAAUGCUUAGAUAUCACGAAGAACUCCGAUUGCGAAGGCAGCUUACCGGGGUACAACUGACGCUGAGGCACGAAAGUGUGGGUAUCAAACAGGAUUAGAUACCCCAGUAUCC